This 441-nucleotide ribosomal RNA is filed under the name uncultured bacterium. RNAcentral describes it as "partial 16S ribosomal RNA". It matches the Rfam family "Bacterial small subunit ribosomal RNA", at positions 338 to 795 of the family's 1533-position model. The record is from RNAcentral.
CCUACGGGAGGCAGCAGUGGGGAAUAUUGGGCAAUGGGCGCAAGCCUGACCCAGCAACGCCGCGUGCAGGAUGAAGGUUUUCGGAUUGUAAACUUCUGUCGCGAGGGACGAAGAAUGCCGGUACCUCGUAAGAAAGCCCCGGCUAACUACGUGCCAGCAGCCGCGGUAAUACGGAGGGGGCACGCGUUUUCCGGAAUGGCGGGGCGUAAAGGGAGUGUAGGCGGCCUUGUAAGUUAGAUGUGAAAUCCUACGGCUUAACCGUAGAACUGCAGCUAAAACUGUGGGGCUGGAGUGCAGGAGAGGUAAGUGGAAUUCGUCGUGUAGCGGUGGAAUGCGUAGAUAUGAGGAAGAACCCCAGAGGCGAAGGCGGCUCGCUGGACUGUAACUGACGCUGAGGCUCGAAAGCGUGGGGAGCGAACAGGAUUAGAUACCCCUGUAGUC